RNAcentral lists this ribosomal RNA (395 nucleotides) under uncultured bacterium. RNAcentral describes it as "partial 16S ribosomal RNA". It matches the Rfam family "Bacterial small subunit ribosomal RNA", at positions 338 to 730 of the family's 1533-position model. The record is from RNAcentral.
CCUACGGGAGGCAGCAGUGAGGAAUAUUGGUCAAUGGACGCAAGUCUGAACCAGCCAUGCCGCGUGCAGGAAGACGGCUCUACGUGUUGUAAACUUCUUUUGUACGGGGACAAAUCCCGGUACGAGUCUCCGGAUGAAAGUAUCGUACGAAAAAGCAUCGGCUAACUCCGUGCCAGCAGCCGCGGUAAUACGGAGGAUUCGAGCGUUAUCCGGAUUUAUUGGGUUUAAAGGGUGCGUAGGCGGUCUGUUAAGUUAGGGGUGAAAUCCCGGGGCUCAACUCCCGCCCUGCCUCUGAUACUGGCGGGCUAGAGUUGAAGUGCAGUAGGCGGAAUGUGUGGUGUAGCGGUGAAAUGCAUAGAGAUCGUACAGAACACCGAUUGCGAAGGCAGCAUACC